RNAcentral lists this ribosomal RNA (433 nucleotides) under uncultured bacterium. Its description in RNAcentral is "partial 16S ribosomal RNA". It matches the Rfam family "Bacterial small subunit ribosomal RNA", at positions 29 to 507 of the family's 1533-position model. The record is from RNAcentral.
AACGAACGCUGGCGGCAUGCCUAACACAUGCAAGUCGAACGAGGCCUUCGGGUCUAGUGGCGCACGGGUGCGUAACGCGUGGGAACCUGCCCUUGGGUUCGGAAUAACUCCCCGAAAGGGGUGCUAAUAACGGAUAAUGUCUUCGGACCAAAGAUUUAUCGCCUUUGGAUGGGCCCGCGUUGGAUUGGCUAGUUGGUAGGGUAAAAGCCUACCAAGGAGACGAUCCAUAGCUGGUCGGAGAGGAUGAUCCGCCACACUGGGACUGAGACACGGCCCAGACUCCUACGGGACGCAGCAGUGGGGAAUAUUGGACAAUGGGCGAAAGCCUGAUCCAGCAAUGCCGCGUGAGUGAUGAAGGCCUUAGGGUUGUAAAGCUCUUUUACCCGGGAUGAGAAUGACAGUACCGGGAGAAUAAGCACCGGCUAACUCCGUG